RNAcentral lists this ribosomal RNA (522 nucleotides) under uncultured bacterium. Its description in RNAcentral is "bacterial SSU rRNA". It matches the Rfam family "Bacterial small subunit ribosomal RNA", at positions 777 to 1295 of the family's 1533-position model. The record is from RNAcentral.
AAUAGAUACCCAGGUAGUCCACGCCGUAAACGAUGAGUGCUAAGUGUUUGGAGGGGUUUCCGCCCUUCAGUGCUGCAGCUAACGCAUUAAGCACUCCGCCUGGGGGAGUACGGUCGCAAGACUGAAACUCAAAGGAAUUGACGGGGGCCCGCACAAGCGGUGGAGCAUGUGGUUUAAUUCGAAGCAACGCGAAGAACCUUACCAGGUCUUGACAUCUCCUGACCGCCCUGGAGACAGGGGUCUUCCCUUCGGGGACAGGAUGACAGGUGGUGCAUGGUUGUCGUCAGCUCGUGUCGUGAGAUGUUGGGUUAAGUCCCGCAACGAGCGCAACCCUUGGUUCUAGUUGCCAGCAUUCAGUUGGGCACUCUAGAGCGACUGCCGGCGAUAAGUCGGAGGAAGGUGGGGAUGACGUCAAAUCAUCAUGCCCCUUAUGACCUGGGCUACACACGUGCUACAAUGGAUGGUACAAAGGGCAGCGAAGCGGCGACGCAUGAGCGAAUCCCAGAAACCAUUCUCAGGUUC